CCAGAUCAAAUGGGAGUAGGGGAUACCUGUGACCUCAGAGAGGACACUGCACAUGAGGGGGAUGCAGUUUUAGCACAACUGGGUGUGGAGGAGGGGGCGUUGUGAGAAGUCAAGUGCCUGGAUCUGUGUCAGACAAAGAGUCAGCAUGCAAAAGAGCUGAAGACAAAAUGUGAUUCUAGAAUUUUUACAUCAGUGUCAAGGACAAUACUCUAGGACAAUAAAGACCCUUUCCCUCUAAGUCUGAGGUGGUGGUCACUGGCUCUUGCUGCAUGUCAGCAUCUCCCUAUCACCCAGGCCUGCCCCAUCCCCAGGUGGCUUUGCCAGUUGAUUCUCUGCUUCCCCCUGGUGGCUGCUCCACACUGUGGGCUGAGAGCUCAGGGACUUCCGGGGUCUAGGUGUGGAUUCAGAACCUGCUGCUCAGGUCCUUGAUGCCCUGAUCCGUGGGCUGCUGGUUCCAGGGGAGGAAUUCCUCUUCUCUGUGUGGCCCCUGCCUGACUCAAGACCAGGUACAAGGGGCUCAGCU
Molecule: long non-coding RNA, 523 nt
Filed under: Pongo abelii (Sumatran orangutan)
Lineage: Eukaryota; Metazoa; Chordata; Mammalia; Primates; Hominidae
Description: lincRNA
Source: RNAcentral